GCAACCUCGCGCCAACUGUCAAAAUGUUUUGAAAAACAAAAUGCUCUUAUUUCGAUGCAUUUCAAGAGUUUUGUUGUGAUAAAAACACUGGAAUAUAGACUGAAAUACUAUCCAACCAUUAGACUCAUGAUCUUGACAUGGAUCCAAGAUGCUGGUAACUAGGCGGGACGGAUUGUUUCACAGAACUGCAGGUUUCUGGAUGGGGACUCAGCGCCAUGUCACAAAUACUUCAGAACCUAGAAUGAAAGUUACCGAAAGAGCAAUAGACUUUCCAAUCUCUACAAAAUUCAUCUUAACUGUUUUUCAAGGUGAUACUUGAGACUACCAAAGACUUUUCAAGGACAGAAUUCACAAAACAGUUUAUGCCACCAUCUCAUAUCAAAAGAUUGUGCUUGAGUUGAACAGCCUUCAAACAGAAACUGUUUCAACACCUUCAAUGGAUUCGUUCUGAUUCAGUUUACUCUUGCUGUGGUCUGAGCAACUAUUUACAUCAGUUCAAGUUCAACAUUGUAAAUUGUUUAAACUUGAAAAUUCUGUCUUCUCGCAACUCACAUGAAUCUAUUUACUGUGGACUUUGAUGUUGACUCUAUACAGGAAAAAGAGACCAUCUUUAUACAAGCUGGCAUAUCAUUUAAAAAGGAACCAAAUUUUAUAACCAACAUACUGCACUGUUAUGUCAUCCAAGGACUCAGCUACUGAGUCAAUUUAUAAAUACUUCAAAGGAAAAAAAUGUCUCUGUCAAUGUAAUUACUGUUGUGCAUAAUAAGACAUUUUUUAUUAUGCCCCCCUUCAAAGAAGAGGGGUAUAUUGCUUUGCACAUGUCGGUUGGUCGGUACCGUCUACCGUCUGUAGACCAAAGCUUGUCCAAGUGAUAACUCAACAAUUCCUAGAUGUAUGGUCUUCAAACUUGACAUGAAGGUUGGGCCUGACCAGUAGAUGAUUUUAUAGCUCAUGGGGUCAAAGGUCAAGGUCACAGUGACCUUGAAUGGUAAAUUAAUUUUAAAGCUUUUCCGAGUGAUGACUCAACAAUGCCUAGACCUAUGGUCAUCAAACUUGAUAUGGAAAUUGGGCCUCACCAAUAGAUGACCCCUAUUGCUUUUGGGGAUCAUCGAGCCAAAGAUCAAGGUCACAGUGGCCUUGAAUGGUAAAAGGUUGUCCAAGUGAUAAAUCAACAAUGCCUGCACCCAUGGCCCUCAAACUUGACUCGGAGGUUGGGCCUUACCAGUAGAUGACCCCUAUUGAUUUUAGGGGUCAAAGGUCAAGGUCACAGUGAUCUUGAAAGCAAAUUCGACAAUUCCUGGUCCAAUGGUCAUCAAACUUGACAUAAAGGUUGGGCCUGACCAGUAGAUGACCCCUCUUGACUUUGAGGGUCAUCGAGCCAAGGUCAAGGUCACAAUAACCUUUAAUGCAAAAAAGAUAACAAAUCUUCUCCCUGUGAUAUCUCAACAAUGCCUGAACCUAUGAUCAUCAAACUUGACAUGGAAGUUGGGCCUGACAAGGAGAUGACGCUUAUUGAUUUUAGGAGUCAUUGGGUCAAAGGUCAAGUUCACAGUGACCUUGAAUGUGAAAAUGUUUCGAGUGAUAACUUGACAAUGCCUGUACCCAUGGCCCUCAAACCUGACUUGGAGUUGUGUCUGACCUGUAGAUGACCCCUUUUCAUUUUAGGGGUCAUCGGGUCAAACGUCCAGGUCACA
Mya arenaria is the source of this 1694-nucleotide long non-coding RNA. RefSeq lists it as uncharacterized. The record is from RefSeq and is a predicted model, not a curated record. The transcript is spliced from 3 exons. NCBI's taxonomy places the organism in Eukaryota, Metazoa, Mollusca, Bivalvia, Myida, Myidae.